Non-coding RNA from Pelobates cultripes (western spadefoot toad), 445 nucleotides. Lineage: Eukaryota; Metazoa; Chordata; Amphibia; Anura; Pelobatidae. The record is from the annotation of a GenBank genome assembly.
GGAAAUCUAUAUUCUUCUUCUUCUGCUUCUUCCUAUUAACCACUUUUUCUGAGUUGUAGGUAUCGAUCUGUGUCUUGUACUUUGAGAUGCUUUGAUAGUCAAUCUGGUUUUGUCAUUACCAUGUUCCAUCUUGAGAAACAGCUGGGUGUUGACAGUUAUCAGCCUUUAUUCUCCUUCACAUUUGCAGGUUCAGAUGUCAGAUCAUGAUUCAGUCUGUUACGUGGCUAUGAUUCUGGUAUCUUUUCUGUCGUCCUCUGUUUGUUUUAUCUUGUCAUCUUUAACAGCAUUCACUGUCUCAGUCAGUGGUUCUGUGAACGUCCCGUUAGUAUUUAGCAGGUUGUAAAAUAUCAAAACUUACUGUUCUCUGUUGGCUCUGAUUGUUUUCUGUAGUAAAAGUUCUCGGAGUCACCCUCUACAGGACAAGCUGGCCAACAGUAGGAAAUAG